UACGAAGGGUGCAAGCGUUGCUCGGAAUUAUUGGGCGUAAAGGGUAGGUAGGUGGUGACAUUUGUCUGGGGUGAAACCCCUGAGCUUAACUCAGGAAGUGCCUUGGAAACGGUGUCACUAGAGUGCUGGAGAGGUUCGCAGAAUUCUUGGUGUAGCGGUGAAAUGCGUAGAUAUGCGGAGGAACACCGAUGGCGAAGGCAAUCCCCUGGGCCUGCACUGACGCUCAUGCACGAAAGCGUGGGGAGCAAACAGG
This 253-nucleotide ribosomal RNA is filed under the name uncultured bacterium. Its description in RNAcentral is "partial 16S ribosomal RNA". It matches the Rfam family "Bacterial small subunit ribosomal RNA", at positions 524 to 776 of the family's 1533-position model. The record is from RNAcentral.